This 647-nucleotide ribosomal RNA is filed under the name uncultured bacterium. RNAcentral describes it as "bacterial SSU rRNA". The stretch from base 1 to 549 matches the Rfam family "Bacterial small subunit ribosomal RNA", at positions 338 to 873 of the family's 1533-position model. The record is from RNAcentral.
CCUACGGGAGGCAGCAGUAGGGAAUCUUCCGCAAUGGACGAAAGUCUGACGGAGCAACGCCGCGUGAGUGAAGAAGGUUUUCGGAUCGUAAAACUCUGUUGUCAGGGAAGAACAAGUAUGGGAGUAACUGCCCGUACCUUGACGGUACCUGGCCAGAAAGCCACGGCUAACUACGUGCCAGCAGCCGCGGUAAUACGUAGGUGGCAAGCGUUGUCCGGAAUUAUUGGGCGUAAAGCGCGCGCAGGCGGCCUUUUAAGUCUGAUGUGAAAGCCCCCGGCUCAACCGGGGAGGGUCAUUGGAAACUGGAAGACUUGAGUGCAGAAGAGAAGAGCGGAAUUCCACGUGUAGCGGUGAAAUGCGUAGAGAUGUGGAGGAACACCAGUGGCGAAGGCGGCUCUUUGGUCUGUAACUGACGCUGAGGCGCGAAAGCGUGGGGAGCAAACAGGAUUAGAUACCCUGGUAGUCCACGCCGUAAACGAUGAGUGCUAAGUGUUGGGGGGUUUUACCGCCCCGUUCAGUGCUGCAGCUAACGCAUUAAGACACUCCGCCGUCGGGGUAGGUACGGCCGGCCGAACGGCGUGAAACGUACGAAACGGAAAGUUAGACGGCGUGAGACGUGACCGAACGGACGACGACGAGGGAGGAGG